UCAGCACUGGAGGUGAGGUUCUGUGUAUCCAGGGCUGGAGGAAGCUGGAGGAACUCUGUAGAAGGGGAGGUUUCGCUUCCGGGUGGGACGGUCGUCACGUGAGGGUGUCCUUAGUGCCGCCUGGUGAAAACGCCCAGGACUGCAGGGUCCCUGCACCCAGAACUUGAUGGGGCGUCUGCGGGCAACUUUGCUUUUGCGUGGAACGUCUGAACGUAUUUACAAUCCACACCCGGUCUGCCCAGUUAGGGGACCAUAUUUCCCUUUAAAUGCUGAAAACAGCGCAGGAGUUGAUGUGUACUGUAUGCAUAAACCGCACGCUGGAUAGCUAAGACUGAUAAGCAAGUCUUGACAUCUUGAGGAGUUUCCACUCUCUGAGAAGGAAAAGGCUGCAGUCCACAGAGGAAGCUGGAGGUGAAUGGCAGAGACAGAGGCUGGUUACAUAGUGGCUUUGGCUUCCUGUCUGCCUGUCAGAGCGGGAGGAGGUGGAUCUUGUGGUGCCUUACAUCUGUGUCACUUCAUUUGUAAGAAGAUGGCUGGAAUGGUGAAGAGCACACAGGUAAAUCACUGCUCCCACCCCCCCCAUGCUUCCAGAAAACCAGCUCAUCAAGAUCUUUCUACCCACCUGGAGCCAGAACUGUUUCUGGAAAUAUCUAAAUUCUUCUACUGAUGCCAAAACAAUGAGGCCAGCCUUUGUCUUUUAGAAACCAGUAGAGGAUUGAGAGGGGAGAUGCCAUGCAUGCUCUCUGCCACAACCUCCCCUGCUGUCCAUCUUCAUAGCCUCUCUAUGCCUACUGGCCUCUCAGGUCUUAUGGGUAUCUUAUGAUGGUCUUCAUCCUAUAAUUCUUGGAGGCCCCUCUCCAUCUGAACAUCCACUCCCAUCCGAAACACGUACAACCUGAAAGAGAAGCCUAAGAGUCUGCAGGUGCACUGUCUUCACCGGGUGGAGGGUGGGGGAGGAUACAUCGCUCUCUGCCUGAUCACAAGGAUGGGUGAAUACUGCAGAUAAAUAAUUCUAAGGGCUUUUACAGAAGCUUCCACAGAGAGGAUGGUCCUGUCACUGCUUUGGGCUUCACAAGAAAGAAACACCUUUCUUCCUUCUGUGCCAGUGACUCAUGCCUCUAACCUCACCCUCAAGUCAAGGAUAACUGGGCUACGAGAGUUAGAGGGGCUUACAACCUGGCAUGCAAGGGAGAGGCGGGUGACUCUGUGGGAUGGAUGUGUUCCUGCAGGAGUGGGGGCUUCAGAUUCUACUCCAAGGACCAAGCUGUCAGGGGCAGUGGAAGGGAGAGGAGCUGUGAUACCCGCCCAGGUGGGGUGGCAUUUUGUGUGUUGCCAUCAAAUAUAUGGAAGCCACAAGUCACUCUGUCAACAUUUUGACAAACCAGUUCCCCAUCUUCUGGAAAAAUCAAACUCUUGUUUUCCUGCUGCCUUCGCAAUGAGGAAACAGGCAACAUUUUGGCUAAAAGUUUAUAAACAAAAGCACAUAUUUUCUGGUCACAGUUCUUCCAGGUCCUGAUUGAUCUGAAUUUCCCACAGGGGUGAGUAGGACCCACCUGCGAUUUGCUUUUAGCUCUAUCCAUAUGUGGAAGGUUUUUUUUUUUUUAAUCUUUAGCAGAAUGACUUUAUUUAUAAGCAAGCAUCUUGUAUAACAGUUUUAUGUGUCAAUUUGGCUAGACUAUAAUACCCAGUUUUCAGUUCAGCACUAAUCCAGGUGUUGCUGUGAAGUUUCAAUUAAAUGCUAAUCCAGGUGUUGCUGUCAAGUAGCUGGGAUUACAGGAACCUGCCACCAUGCCCGGCUAAUUUUU
This is a long non-coding RNA of Cebus imitator (Panamanian white-faced capuchin), 1805 nucleotides long. RefSeq lists it as uncharacterized. The record is from RefSeq and is a predicted model, not a curated record. NCBI's taxonomy places the organism in Eukaryota, Metazoa, Chordata, Mammalia, Primates, Cebidae. The transcript has 3 exons.